GCCGCCGUAGCUCAUCUGGAAGAGCAGUCCCUUUGUACGGCACAGGUCGCGGGUUCGAUUCCUGCCGGCGGCUCCA
RNAcentral lists this transfer RNA (76 nucleotides) under Hyphomicrobiales bacterium. Its description in RNAcentral is "tRNA-Thr". It matches the Rfam family "tRNA". From Rfam's summary of the family: Transfer RNA (tRNA) molecules are approximately 80 nucleotides in length. Their secondary structure includes four short double-helical elements and three loops (D, anti-codon, and T loops). Further hydrogen bonds mediate the characteristic L-shaped molecular structure. tRNAs have two regions of fundamental functional importance: the anti-codon, which is responsible for specific mRNA codon recognition, and the 3' end, to which the tRNAs corresponding amino acid is attached (by aminoacyl-tRNA synthetases). tRNAs cope with the degeneracy of the genetic code in two manners: having more than one tRNA (with a specific anti-codon) for a particular amino acid; and 'wobble' base-pairing, i.e. permitting non-standard base-pairing at the 3rd anti-codon position. Lineage: Bacteria; Pseudomonadati; Pseudomonadota; Alphaproteobacteria; Hyphomicrobiales. The record is from RNAcentral.